UGUGAUGUGUGUCUGUUUCCUAGGUGAUGU
This 30-nucleotide non-coding RNA is filed under the name Rattus norvegicus (Norway rat). Lineage: Eukaryota; Metazoa; Chordata; Mammalia; Rodentia; Muridae. The record is from RNAcentral.